Lycium barbarum (goji berry) is the source of this 469-nucleotide long non-coding RNA. RefSeq lists it as uncharacterized. NCBI's taxonomy places the organism in Eukaryota, Viridiplantae, Streptophyta, Magnoliopsida, Solanales, Solanaceae. The record is from RefSeq and is a predicted model, not a curated record. The transcript has 2 exons.
UAUCUCUCCUCUCUCCCCUCUCCCUUCCCCUUUACCCCAAACCCUAGACGCACCGCCCCUUCCUCCCUUUCUCUCUCUCCUCGUUGGAUUACCAGAAAUGGUAUUAAUACAGGGGGGUCAGACCCGUAUCAGCUUUAGCUCAACCAAAUCGGUGCAACACUUAAAGUUUCAUUGUCUCUUUCUUCUCAUUUCUGGCAAACUACGCCUACAAGCCACCUUAUGGCCCAGUAGAAGAAUUCUUUCGAAGAUUAUUGAAUUCAAGAAGAGAAAUGGAAGCUAAUAUUGUUAAAGACACCAAGAAGGCCCAGCCAUGGGUGAAAAUGGCCAACUAGGGGCUUCGUACGCCCCUACUCUUCCCUUCCUCUUUACUCAUGCAUUAUUCAUAUUUCCUUUGUAUGAAGUUGAUUGUAUCCUGUAUUUGUAAAGUUGUAAAACUCAUGUAUAUUAUUGGAAUCAUUAUUAUUAUGAA